GAAAGGAUACGUUAAAACCAACCAAUAUUUAAGUCUAGCUAUGAGAUAUUAGGCCUUUAUACUUGGAAGAAUGGAUGAAUCACACUUGAGGUUGAGCUCACCAAGUACGCAUAUGAGAAGAGGCCAGCAACUGCAUCUGAAUAGCUGAGGGAACAUUCUCU
Triplophysa dalaica is the source of this 161-nucleotide long non-coding RNA. RefSeq lists it as uncharacterized. NCBI's taxonomy places the organism in Eukaryota, Metazoa, Chordata, Actinopteri, Cypriniformes, Nemacheilidae. The transcript has 3 exons. The record is from RefSeq and is a predicted model, not a curated record.